Molecule: ribosomal RNA, 477 nt
Filed under: bacterium Ellin6113
Lineage: Bacteria; Bacillati; Bacillota; Bacilli; Caryophanales; Paenibacillaceae
Description: bacterial SSU rRNA
Rfam family: Bacterial small subunit ribosomal RNA
Source: RNAcentral
GACGAACGCGGCGGCGUGCUUAAUACAUGCAAGUCGAGCGGAGUCAUUCCUUCGGGGAUGGCUUAGCGGCGGACGGGUGAGUAACACGUAGGCAACCUGCCUGCAAGAUCGGGAUAACAUUCGGAAACGAAUGCUAAUACCGGAUACACAAUUUCCUCGCAUGGGGAGAUUGGGAAAGACGGCGCAAGCUGUCACUUGCAGAUGGGCCUGCGGUGCAUUAGCUAGUUGGUGGGGUAAYGGCUCACCAAGGCGACGAUGCAUAGCCGACCUGAGAGGGUGAUCGGCCACACUGGGACUGAGACACGGCCCAGACUCCUACGGGAGGCAGCAGUAGGGAAUCUUCCGCAAUGGACGAAAGUCUGACGGAGCAACGCCGCGUGAGUGAUGAAGGUUUUCGGAUCGUAAAGCUCUGUUGCCAGGGAAGAACAGCCAGGCGAGUAACUGCGCUUGGAAUGACGGUACCUGAAAGAAGCGAGC